This 485-nucleotide ribosomal RNA is filed under the name uncultured bacterium. Its description in RNAcentral is "bacterial SSU rRNA". It matches the Rfam family "Bacterial small subunit ribosomal RNA", at positions 29 to 508 of the family's 1533-position model. The record is from RNAcentral.
AUUGAACGCUGGCGGCAUGCUUUACACAUGCAAGUCGAGCGGCAGCGCGGGGCAACCUGGCGGCGAGCGGCGAACGGGUGAGUAAUGCAUCGGAACGUGUCCCGUAGUGGGGGAUAACCCGGCGAAAGCCGGACUAAUACCGCAUAUUCUCUACGGAGGAAAGGGGGGGACCCGCAAGGGCCUCUCACUAUGGGAGCGGCCGAUGUCCGAUUAGCUUGUUGGUGAGGUAAUGGCUUACCAAGGCGACGAUCGGUAGCUGGUCUGAGAGGAUGAUCAGCCACACUGGGACUGAGACACGGCCCAGACUCCUACGGGAGGCAGCAGUGGGGAAUUUUGGACAAUGGGGGCAACCCUGAUCCAGCCAUGCCGCGUGCGGGAAGAAGGCCUUCGGGUUGUAAACCGCUUUUGUCCGGAAAGAAAAGGCGCCACCUAAUACGGGGCGUUCUUGACGGUACCGGAAGAAUAAGCACCGGCUAACUACGUGC